UACGGAGGAUCCGAGCGUUAUCCGGAUUUAUUGGGUUUAAAGGGUGCGUAGGCGGCCUAUUAAGUCAGGGGUGAAAUACGGUGGCUCAACCAUCGCAGUGCCUUUGAUACUGAUGGGCUUGAAUCCAUUUGAAGUGGGCGGAAUAAGACAAGUAGCGGUGAAAUGCAUAGAUAUGUCUUAGAACUCCGAUUGCGAAGGCAGCUCACUAAGCUGGUAUUGACGCUGAGGAGCGAAAGCGUGGGGAGCGAACAGG
Molecule: ribosomal RNA, 253 nt
Filed under: uncultured bacterium
Lineage: Bacteria
Description: partial 16S ribosomal RNA
Rfam family: Bacterial small subunit ribosomal RNA
Source: RNAcentral